GGCGGGCCUCCUCGCAUUGCAAGGUGGUGAACCUGGUCAGGUCCGGAAGGAAGCAGCCAUAUCCAUUACUGCAAGUGCCGAGGGCAAGGCUCGCCUCC
Molecule: signal recognition particle RNA, 98 nt
Filed under: Candidatus Nitrotoga sp. M5
Lineage: Bacteria; Pseudomonadati; Pseudomonadota; Betaproteobacteria; Nitrosomonadales; Gallionellaceae
Description: Bacteria_small_SRP
Rfam family: Bacterial small signal recognition particle RNA
About the family: The signal recognition particle (SRP) is a universally conserved ribonucleoprotein involved in the co-translational targeting of proteins to membranes. Archaeal SRP consists of a 7S RNA and homologues of the eukaryotic SRP19 and SRP54 proteins.
Source: RNAcentral